AUGCAGCUCGUUCCUGGCAAAGCCAGAACUCAGUUCAGGCCCCUGAUUCCAAGGCAAAGGUUCUCUUCCUCUGUACCGCUGCUGGCACCCUGCAUAAGGCCUCUUUCCUCUUUCUCCUUUAUGUCCCUCAUCCUUCUCUCUGCCCCUUCCCCUCUGAAUCUACCCCUCCUCCCCUUCUUGAUUUUCUCUGCUCUAGCCAGCUGGUUCCCUGUUUUUCUCUCUUUGCCCAUGUUUCUGUCCCUCUAUUUUCUUUUCUUCUUCCAGGUUCCUUCUUUUUCAUUUUUUCAUCCCUGAGUGUGUCUCCUUGUCUUUCUCUCCUCUUCUUCUUUCUUUAUUCUUGGUCUCUAGGUGUCUCUGUCUCCCCUUGCCUUUCUCUCCAGGUCGUUCUGUCUUCCCUUUUUCUUAUUCCUGAGCUCUAGAUUUCUCUAUGUCUCCUUGCAUUCUCUUUGUCUCUGGGUGUCUCUGUCUCUCUUAAUCUUUCUCUUCAUCUCUUUCUCUCUCCCCCACCCAGCUCCCCCAUUCUUGUUCUUGAGCCCAGAGUCUGUUUCUCCGUGUCUUUUUAUUCUUCUCUGUGUGUAUGUCGUUGUCUUUCUCUCUGGGUCUUUUUCUCCCUCUCUCACUUUCUCGGCUUCUGCCUCUGCUUGCUCUGCGCCUCCCUCCCCAGCUCGCCUGCUCUCUCUGCUCUGCUCUGCUCUGCUCUCCGCCCUGCCUGCCCGAGCAGCCGGUUCAUGGGGAAUGUGAAUGAUUGUCCUGAGGGACAUUUGAUGGAUUAGAGAGCUAAACAGUUCCAUUGCGAGAGGACCACCUGAUCUCCAGCCUGCGUCCCAUAUAAAGCCGGCAGCCGGACUGCUGAGCUCAGCGAGUGUGCCAGGCAGAGCCGCCUCCCCUCCCCUCCCCUCCCCUCCUCUCCGCCCGGGCCCUCCCUGCCUCGCUGCCUGGGGACCGCAUGCGGGUAGCGCAGGGAGCUGUCCAGUGCUGAAGAGCCCGCUCUGUGAGGCAACAGCGUGCACUUCCCUUCAAGCCUGCAACCCCCACACCCCCAAGCUUUCCCCCCUCCCCUUCCAGGGCCCCAGUGAAGUUCCCCGCCGGGCCGGCUCCGG
This 1100-nucleotide long non-coding RNA is filed under the name Monodelphis domestica (gray short-tailed opossum). Its description in RNAcentral is "lncRNA (ENSMODG00000047096.1)". Lineage: Eukaryota; Metazoa; Chordata; Mammalia; Didelphimorphia; Didelphidae. The record is from RNAcentral.